GUGCUCACAUUGGCAGCAGACAUACUAAAACUGGAACAAUACAGAGAUUAGCAUGGCCCCUGCGCAAGGAUGACACGCAAAUUCAUGAAGCACUCCAUAUUAAA
This 104-nucleotide small nuclear RNA is filed under the name Moschus moschiferus (Siberian musk deer). Lineage: Eukaryota; Metazoa; Chordata; Mammalia; Artiodactyla; Moschidae. The record is from RNAcentral.